UACGUAGGUGACAAGCGUUGUCCGGAUUUACUGGGCGUAAAGAGCGCGCAGGCGGUCGUUCAAGUCGAGUGUGAAAGCCCACGGCUCAACCGUGGAGGGUCAUUGGAAACUGGGGAACUUGAGUGCAGGAGAGAAGAGUGGAAUUCCACGUGUAGCGGUGAAAUGCGUAGAGAUGUGGAGGAACACCCGUGGCGAAGGCGGCUCUCUGGGACGGUACUGACGCUGAGACGCGAAAGCGUGGGGAGCGAACAGG
RNAcentral lists this ribosomal RNA (253 nucleotides) under uncultured bacterium. RNAcentral's name for it is "partial 16S ribosomal RNA". It matches the Rfam family "Bacterial small subunit ribosomal RNA", at positions 524 to 776 of the family's 1533-position model. The record is from RNAcentral.